GAUGAAGAACGCAGCGAAAUGCGAUAAGUAAUGUGAAUUGCAGAAUUCAGUGAAUCAUCGAAUCUUUGAACGCACCUUGCACCCUUUGGAAUUCCAAAGGGUAUGCUCGUUUGAGUGUCAUUGUACUCUCACACUCUCCGAUCCUUUGGAUUUGGGGAGCGGUGGACUUGGGUGUUUGCUGCUUUCAUUGUGGCUCACCUCAAAUGUGUCAGUGCAUCUCUUGAUUGGACAUAGUACGGCGUGAUAUGUGUCUUCGUCGGCACCUCAUAAGAGGGUGGCCGAUCAGGAGCUCUGUGCUUUCAAACUGUCUUCGGACAAUCUCUGACAACUUGACCUCAAAUCGAGUAGGACUACCCGCUGAACUUAAGCAUAUCAAUAAGCGGAGGA
This 387-nucleotide unclassified non-coding RNA is filed under the name soil metagenome. RNAcentral's name for it is "partial contains 5.8S ribosomal RNA, internal transcribed spacer 2, and large subunit ribosomal RNA". The stretch from base 1 to 120 matches the Rfam family "5.8S ribosomal RNA", at positions 35 to 154 of the family's 154-position model. The record is from RNAcentral.